RNAcentral lists this ribosomal RNA (301 nucleotides) under uncultured bacterium. RNAcentral describes it as "partial 16S ribosomal RNA". It matches the Rfam family "Bacterial small subunit ribosomal RNA", at positions 509 to 807 of the family's 1533-position model. The record is from RNAcentral.
CAGUCGCCGCGGUAAUACGUAGGUGGCAAGCGUUGUCCGGAAUUAUUGGGCGUAAAGCGCGCGCAGGUGGUUUAAUAAGUCUGAUGUGAAAGCCCACGGCUCAACCGCGGAGGGUCAUUGGAAACUGUUAAACUUGAGUGCAGGAGAGAAAAGUGGGAUUCCUAGUGUAGCGGUGAAAUGCGUAGAGAUUAGGAGGAACACCAGUGGCGAAGGCGGCUUUUUGGCCUGUAACUGACACUGAGGCUCGAAAGCCAGGGGAGCGAACGGGAUUAGAUACCCGUGUAGUCCCUGUCUCUUAUAC